This 76-nucleotide transfer RNA is filed under the name Rhodoferax sp. Its description in RNAcentral is "tRNA-Ala". It matches the Rfam family "tRNA". From Rfam's summary of the family: Transfer RNA (tRNA) molecules are approximately 80 nucleotides in length. The record is from RNAcentral. Lineage: Bacteria; Pseudomonadati; Pseudomonadota; Betaproteobacteria; Burkholderiales; Comamonadaceae. RNAcentral also lists the same sequence under 16 other names.
GGGGCCAUAGCUCAGCUGGGAGAGCGCUUGCAUGGCAUGCAAGAGGUCGACGGUUCGAUCCCGUCUGGCUCCACCA